CUACGGGGUGCUGCAGUGAGGAAUAUUGCACAAUGGGGGGAACCCUGAUGCAGCAAUGCCGCGUGGAGGAUGACGCAUUUCGGUGUGUAAACUCCUUUUAUAUGUCAAGAAAAUGACGGUAGCAUAUGAAUAAGCACCGGCUAACUCCGUGCCAGCAGCCGCGGUAAUACGGAGGGUGCAAGCGUUACUCGGAAUCACUGGGCGUAAAGGACGCGUAGGCGGGUUGGAAAGUCAGGUGUGAAAUCCUACAGCUUAACUGUAGAGCUGCACUUGAAACUUCUAAUCUAGAGUAUGGGAGGGGGAGAUGGAAUUAGUGGUGUAGGGGUAAAAUCCGUAGAUAUCACUAGGAAUACCUAAAGCGAAGGCGAUCUCCUGGAACAUUACUGACGCUAAGGCGUGAAAGCGUGGGGAGCAAACAGGAUUAGAUACCCGCGUAGUC
This 439-nucleotide ribosomal RNA is filed under the name uncultured bacterium. Its description in RNAcentral is "partial 16S ribosomal RNA". It matches the Rfam family "Bacterial small subunit ribosomal RNA", at positions 339 to 795 of the family's 1533-position model. The record is from RNAcentral.